Molecule: non-coding RNA, 189 nt
Organism: Caenorhabditis elegans
Lineage: Eukaryota; Metazoa; Nematoda; Chromadorea; Rhabditida; Rhabditidae
Source: Ensembl
AUGGCCUCAGAGGAUGUUGGAGCAACGGCGCCGCGCUUAGACGGGCCGCCGAGACCACACACAAAAAAGAAAGACGAGAAAAAACACAGGAGGUGGGCUCGGGGCGCCCCCGGCUGGCCGGUUGUCGCCAUCUCAUCGACCUCAUCACUCUCUCGUCGGCUUCUUUUUGUAUAGUUCGCGUUUCUUUUA